RNAcentral lists this long non-coding RNA (2213 nucleotides) under Coffea arabica (coffee). RNAcentral's name for it is "long non-coding RNA (CARA_LNC002815)". The record is from RNAcentral. Lineage: Eukaryota; Viridiplantae; Streptophyta; Magnoliopsida; Gentianales; Rubiaceae.
UACAUUUCUGCACUUCAAGCUCUCUCCCGUAUCCUCUCUUUCUGAUUGCUCUCUAUAUAAAACUGAUAUGAGGUGCCUUUCCACUGGUCCAAAAUUCCUGCUAUGAUUCUCCAAAUCUGAAUUUGUUAAGGGAGUCAAAAAUAAUGGCUUUUGACUUGGAACCUUGGCUAUAUCUCUUCCUUAUGUCUUCUGAAGCAUGUGCAGCCUACGUUUUCUCUCCAACUCUAGCUGGAAAGUAGUGUGAAGAUGAGAAAAAUGGCUGAGCAAAUUACAGAAAUUCGGCUGCCAUACACGUUUUCACUUUUGACCUCACUUCAACUGCAUUUGUCUCCAUGAUGAAGGCCGAACUGGCUUUUGUGUAAAACACAAAAGUUGUAUCCCUUUGAAUUAGCGUUCCAAUGCUUCAAGAAUCAUCUAAUUUGGAGGUCGGUGGACGGAGAUAUGGUCAAAAUACCAUAGACUGGUCAAUUCUGGGCUUCAGCUUUCGACCAUCCAGAUAAGUUUCUGUGUUUCGACCUUUUGACCAAGAAAACGGCUGAAUUGGAUUUUGAUGUCUUCAUACCAAAUGUAGAUAUAUCUCUUAGCUUCAAAAUGGUACCAAGAUCACCUUGAUCCGAUCAUUGUAGCUCCUGAUAUAGUCAAAAUACGAAAAUGUGUCUGAGUUGUCAAAGUUGACUUUUCUUGAUUUUUUUUGUCCUCAAAUUGCAUUUCUUCCUUUUACACUUCAUAUUUUAAUUUCACCACUUUAAUCCAUCUUCAAUCAUCCAAAUAUCUUCCCAAUGCACUUCAUUUGAUGAUUGAAUUAUUAAACCUACAAAAUAUGAAGUUUUUUACCAUAAAAAUCCAUAAAAUGCAAUGUUUAGCCAUUUUAACAUAAAAUGUAGUUUUUUUACCAAAACCUUAGUUAUUUUAGUUAUAAAACUAAAUAAUCAAACCAAAAUUAACUAAUAAAACACACUAAAAAUACGUAAAAUAAACUCUUAUCACUAACAAAUUGAGAUUGUUAUAUAUCUGUGGUUGACAAAAAGUUAAAUUUUCACAACAAUAGAAGUAAAAUGUGUAAAUUUUGCCUACUCAUGUGCAAGGGUUUUGAAGAGGAAUAUGAUCAAAGCUAUAUAAUAGAGUACUUUUAAGUUUCAAACAUGGCAGUUUUCAUGGAAGAAUGACCACUAAAACAUAAGCUAAGUUUCCAUAAGUUAGUACAUCUUCAGCACAAAAAAGAGGAUAGAAAUAAAGAAAAUUUGAAUCAGACCCAUCGUCAAACAGCAAAGGAACCAAUAUUGUAGCUUAAUUUGAUAUGUAUAAGCUUAGAGAGGCGACUUUGAAAAAGUAAUAUGAAGUUGAGAAAUGACGAACAAUGAAAGAGGAAUGUUUUUAAUAAAUACCCAUUGAAUACUUGUUCGCACAUUUAAAUUAUACCUAAUGAUAAGAGUUUAUUUUACGUAUUUUUAAGAGCAUUUUAUUAGUUAAUUUUCAGUUGAUUAUUUAGUUUUAUAAUUAAAAUAAAGAAGUUUUUGGUAAAAUUAUAUAUUUUUGGUAAAAGUGGAUAAUAUUGCAUUUCUAUUUAUUUUAAUGGUAAAAACUUCAUUUUCUUGCAGGUUAAUGAUCCAAUCACCAAAAGAUGUCAAAUGAGGCGAAAAGUAGAUAAUUGGUGAUGAAUUCAAGUGGUAGAAAAGAGAAAUGAAGUGAAAAAUGUUCAAGUGAGAAAAUGCAAGUCAAGACAGUUUUGACAUUCUUCGGUAUUUUGGCUAUAUCUAGAGUUAUACUUAUCGGAUUGAGGUGAUCUUUAUACCAUUUUAAAGGUAAGAAAGAGGUCUACAAUUGGUAUGAAGACAUCGAAAUCCAAUUCUGCUGUUUUCAUAGACAAAAAGUCGAAAUACAGAAGUUGCAUUCUGUGGUCGGAAAUUGAAACAGGGGUUUGACCAGAGGAUGGUAUUUUGACCAUAUCUCAGCCUACAAAAGUCCAAAUGGGAUGAUUCUUGAUGCUAUGGAAAGAUAAUUCAAAGAGGAUACGGGGGAGAGAACUUGAAGUGCAGAAAUGUAGUUCUUUCAUUUCCUUAGUGUAGGAUAGUGUAGUAAGUGUAGUUAAUCCAUUCUUGUAUAAUAGCUAGAUUAGGAUGAAGAUGGAGAUGAAGAAGGAGAAGUUGAAGCUCAAGUGACAUGGGUUAUCUCUACUCCAAUUCUUUAUCUUUUGUAUUGGAUUCUUAACUAUG